Molecule: ribosomal RNA, 497 nt
Filed under: uncultured bacterium
Lineage: Bacteria
Description: partial 16S ribosomal RNA
Rfam family: Bacterial small subunit ribosomal RNA
Source: RNAcentral
GAUGAACGCUGGCGGCGUGCCUAAUACAUGCAAGUAGAACGCUGAAGCUUGGUGCUUGCACCGAGCGGAUGAGUUGCGAACGGGUGAGUAACGCGUAGGUAACCUGCCUCUUAGCGGGGGAUAACUAUUGGAAACGAUAGCUAAUACCGCAUAAAAGUCGAUAUCGCAUGAUAUUGAUUUGAAAGGUGCAAAUGCAUCACUAAGAGAUGGACCUGCGUUGUAUUAGCUAGUUGGUGAGGUAACGGCUCACCAAGGCGACGAUACAUAGCCGACCUGAGAGGGUGAUCGGCCACACUGGGACUGAGACACGGCCCAGACUCCUACGGGAGGCAGCAGUAGGGAAUCUUCGGCAAUGGGGGCAACCCUGACCGAGCAACGCCGCGUGAGUGAAGAAGGUUUUCGGAUCGUAAAGCUCUGUUGUAAGAGAAGAACGAGUGUGAGAGUGGAAAGUUCACACUGUGACGGUAACUUACCAGAAAGGGACGGCUAACUGCGUG